UGGAGAUGUCCUACUUGUGGA
This 21-nucleotide non-coding RNA is filed under the name Arabidopsis thaliana (thale cress). Lineage: Eukaryota; Viridiplantae; Streptophyta; Magnoliopsida; Brassicales; Brassicaceae. The record is from RNAcentral.